RNAcentral lists this ribosomal RNA (460 nucleotides) under uncultured bacterium. Its description in RNAcentral is "partial 16S ribosomal RNA". It matches the Rfam family "Bacterial small subunit ribosomal RNA", at positions 338 to 795 of the family's 1533-position model. The record is from RNAcentral.
CCUACGGGUGGCAGCAGUGAGGAAUAUUGGUCAAUGGACGAGAGUCUGAACCAGCCAAGUAGCGUGAAGGAUGACUGCCUUAUGGGUUGUAAACUUCUUUUAUAUGGGAAUAAAAUGUUCCACGUGUGGGAUUUUGUAUGUACCAUAUGAAUAAGGAUCGGCUAACUCCGUGCCAGCAGCCGCGGUAAUACGGAGGAUCCGAGCGUUAUCCGGAUUUAUUGGGUUUAAAGGGAGCGUAGGUGGAGUGUUAAGUCAGUUGUGAAAGUGUGCGGCGCAACCGUAAAAUUGCAGUUGAAACUGGCAGUCUUGAGUACAGUAGAGGUGGGCGGAAUUCGUGGUGUAGCGGUGAAAUGCUUAGAUAUCACGAAGAACUCCGAUUGCGAAGGCAGUUCACUGGACUGCAACUGACACUGAGGCUCGAAAGUGUGGGUAUCAAACAGGAUUAGAUACCCGUGUAGUC